UACGGGAGGCAGCAGUGAGGAAUAUUGGUCAAUGGACGCAAGUCUGAACCAGCCACGUCGCGUGAAGGAAGACGGCCCUACGGGUUGUAAACUUCUUUUGUAAGGGAAUAAAGUGCAGUACGCGUACUGUUUUGCAAGCACCUUGCGAAUAAGGAUCGGCUAACUCCGUGCCAGCAGCCGCGGUAAUACGGAGGAUCCGAGCGUUAUCCGGAUUUAUUGGGUUUAAAGGGUGCUCAGGCGGGGGAUUAAGUCGGCGGUGAAAUUUCACAGCUCAACUGUAAAAGUGCCUUCGAAACUGGUUUCCUUGAGUGUGGAUGAGGUAGGCGGAAUUUGUGGUGUAGCGGUGAAAUGCAUAGAUAUCACGAGGAACUCCGAUUGCGCAGGCAGCUUACUAAGCCAUAACUGACGCUCAAGCACGAAGGCGUGGGGAUCAAACAGGAUUAGAUACCCUGGUAGUCCACGCAGUAAACGAUGAUUACUGGCUGUUUGCGAUAUAAUGUAAGCGGCUGAGCGAAAGCGUUAAGUAAUCCACCUGGGGAGUACGUUCGCAAGAAUGAAACUCAAAGGAAUUGACGG
This 576-nucleotide ribosomal RNA is filed under the name uncultured bacterium. RNAcentral's name for it is "bacterial SSU rRNA". It matches the Rfam family "Bacterial small subunit ribosomal RNA", at positions 340 to 916 of the family's 1533-position model. The record is from RNAcentral.